AGUGAACGCUGGCGGUAGGCCUAACACAUGCAAGUCGAACGGCAGCACAGUAAGAGCUUGCUCUUACGGGUGGCGAGUGGCGGACGGGUGAGGAAUACAUCGGAAUCUACUUUUUCGUGGGGGAUAACGUAGGGAAACUUACGCUAAUACCGCAUACGACUUACGGGUGAAAGCAGGGGAUCUUCGGACCUUGCGCGAUUGAAUGAGCCGAUGUCGGAUUAGCUAGUUGGCGGGGUAAAGGCCCACCAAGGCGACGAUCCGUAGCUGGUCUGAGAGGAUGAUCAGCCACACUGGAACUGAGACACGGUCCAGACUCCUACGGGAGGCAGCAGUGGGGAAUAUUGGACAAUGGGCGCAAGCCUGAUCCAGCCAUACCGCGUGGGUGAAGAAGGCCUUCGGGUUGUAAAGCCCUUUUGUUGGGGAAGAAAAGCAGCAGGUUAAUACCCCGCUGUUCUGACGGUACCCAAAGAAUAAGCACCGGCUAACUUCGUG
RNAcentral lists this ribosomal RNA (492 nucleotides) under uncultured bacterium. RNAcentral's name for it is "partial 16S ribosomal RNA". It matches the Rfam family "Bacterial small subunit ribosomal RNA", at positions 29 to 507 of the family's 1533-position model. The record is from RNAcentral.